UGGGGAGUAAGCAAAAAGGAUGGAACAAGAAGCCAAAAUGAUGCUCUGAAAUUUUGCUCCUUCCUUUCAAUUGUUGCCAUUUCGAGGAGGAGAGAGAGGUCAAGUAAAGCUUUCUCAUUAACCGUUAAGAGCAGUGAUUAAAAUUUCCUUCUUGAAGAAUUAGUUGUGGUAGAAUAACAGAGAACAUACAUCCAGAGGAGCCUACAAGACAUUUUGAGGGGAUACUGGACUCCUCCUUCUUUGUGUGACAUAGAGGAGAAUGGGUGAUUCCAGAUUAGAGAAUUUGGAGACCACAGGACCACACAAAGAACACAUGGUUUUUAUAUACUUCAUUGUAAUCUGCCAUACCUGGCCCAGGUGGUAA
RNAcentral lists this long non-coding RNA (364 nucleotides) under Capra hircus (goat). RNAcentral describes it as "lncRNA (ENSCHIG00000003731.1)". The record is from RNAcentral. Lineage: Eukaryota; Metazoa; Chordata; Mammalia; Artiodactyla; Bovidae.